GAGUUUGAUCCUGGCUCAGAUUGAACGCUGGCGGCAGGCCUAACACAUGCAAGUCGAGCGGAUGACGGGAGCUUGCUCCUUGAUUCAGCGGCGGACGGGUGAGUAAUGCCUGGGAAUCUGCCUGGUAGUGGGGGACAACGUUUCGAAAGGAACGCUAAUACCGCAUACGUCCUACGGGAGAAAGCAGGGGACCUUCGGGCCUUGCGCUAUCAGAUGAGCCUAGGUCGGAUUAGCUAGUUGGUGGGGUAAUGGCUCACCAAGGCGACGAUCCGUAACUGGUCUGAGAGGAUGAUCAGUCACACUGGAACUGAGACACGGUCCAGACUCCUACGGGAGGCAGCAGUGGGGAAUAUUGGACAAUGGGCGAAAGCCUGAUCCAGCCAUGCCGCGUGUGUGAAGAAGGUCUUCGGAUUAGUAAAGC
Molecule: ribosomal RNA, 421 nt
Filed under: bacterium enrichment culture clone ALO1_GLFRUDD03GM6SJ
Lineage: Bacteria
Description: bacterial SSU rRNA
Rfam family: Bacterial small subunit ribosomal RNA
Source: RNAcentral